RNAcentral lists this ribosomal RNA (1044 nucleotides) under uncultured bacterium. Its description in RNAcentral is "bacterial SSU rRNA". It matches the Rfam family "Bacterial small subunit ribosomal RNA", at positions 338 to 1377 of the family's 1533-position model. The record is from RNAcentral.
CCUACGGGAGGCAGCAGUCGAGAAUUUUUCUCAAUGGGGGCAACCCUGAAGGAGCGACGCCGCGUGGAGGAUGAAGGCUUUCGGGUUGUAAACUCCUGUCAUUUGGGAACAAGGUGCAUCGGUUAACUGCCGAUGCAUUGAUAGUACCAGAAGAGGAAGAGACGGCUAACUCUGUGCCAGCAGCCGCGGUAAUACAGAGGUCUCAAGCGUUGUUCGGAUUCAUUGGGCGUAAAGGGUGCGUAGGUGGCGGGGUAAGUCAGGUGUGAAAUUUCGGAGCUUAACUCCGAAACUGCAUUUGAUACUGCCUUGCUUGAGGACUGGAGAGGAGAUUGGAAUUCACGGUGUAGCAGUGAAAUGCGUAGAUAUCGUGAGGAAGACCAGUGGCGAAGGCGGAUCUCUGGACAGUUCCUGACACUGAGGCACGAAGGCCAGGGGAGCAAACGGGAUUAGAUACCCCGGUAGUCCUGGCAGUAAACGGUGCACGUUUGGUGUGGGAGGAUUCGACCCCUUCUGCGCCGGAGCUAACGCGUUAAACGUGCCGCCUGGGGAGUACGGUCGCAAGAUUAAAACUCAAAGAAAUUGACGGGGGCCCGCACAAGCGGCGGAGUAUGUGGCUUAAUUCGAUGCAACGCGAAGAACCUUACCUGGCCUUGACAUGCAUCUCUAAGUUGGUGAAAGCCAGCGAGUCCCGAAAGGGACAAUUUGCACAGGUGCUGCAUGGCUGUCGUCAGCUCGUGUCGUGAGAUGUUGGGUUAAGUCCCGCAACGAGCGCAACCCCUGUGAACUGUUGCCACCAGGCCGUGAUGAGCACUCUGUUCAGACUGCUCUGUGAAACGGGGAGGAACGGUGGGGGACGACGUCAAGUCAGUAUGGCCCUUACGGCCAGGCUGCACACGUACUACAAUGCCCAGUACAGAAUGAUCCGAGACCGCGAGGGUGGAGGAAAUCUCUAAACUGGGCCCAGUUCCGGGAUUGCAGCUGCAACUCGCUUCAUGAGCGAUCGCUAGUAUGCGCAUCAGCUACGGGCCGGUGAAACGUUUCCGG